GGAUAUGAUGGUCAUCUGGCUGGGAACAUCUGAUCGCUAUGGUUGAUUUGGCUGAUUCGGCUACCUAGGCAGGUAUCCCCCUCCUUCCUCAGAACUCCAUGUACAUUUUUUCAUAAACUGUUCCCAUGGUCAAGAAGGACCUUCCCUGAAUAGAGCAGGACCUCAGCUGAGGGUAUAUGAGUAGCUGUGCUCCCCUGCCAGAACCUCCAGCAGGCUCUCAAAGACUAAUAACAUGUACACAAGUUAUUUCAUCUAACUACCUAGUUCCUGAACUUCUGU
RNAcentral lists this small nuclear RNA (279 nucleotides) under Mesocricetus auratus (golden hamster). RNAcentral's name for it is "7SK RNA". It matches the Rfam family "7SK RNA". From Rfam's summary of the family: 7SK was discovered as an abundant small nuclear RNA in the mid-70s but a possible function has only recently been suggested. Two independent studies have found that 7SK RNA binds the CDK9/cyclin T complex (known as elongation factor P-TEFb). The record is from Rfam by way of RNAcentral. Lineage: Eukaryota; Metazoa; Chordata; Mammalia; Rodentia; Cricetidae.